AAAGUCGUAACAAGGUUUCCGUAGGUGAACCUGCGGAAGGAUCAUUAUUGAAAAUCUUUGUUGGUUCUGUGGUUGAGCUGGCUUUUAACAGAGCAUGUGCUUGCUACUUGACCUUCAAAAACCUUCAUCCACCUGUGCACACUUUGUAGGGGAGAACAAGUAUUUCAUCAAAAGUAGAAGGAAUCCUUUGUGGGAUGUCUUUGAAAAGAAGUUCUUUUCUUUCCCUAUGUUUUUACACACACUAUUGAAUGUUUAGAAUGAUCAUCUUAUUGAAGAGCGUAAAAACUCUUUAAAUAAAACAUAAUACAACUUUCAGCAACGGAUCUCUUGGCUCUC
RNAcentral lists this unclassified non-coding RNA (336 nucleotides) under Basidiomycota sp. Its description in RNAcentral is "partial contains small subunit ribosomal RNA, internal transcribed spacer 1, and 5.8S ribosomal RNA". The stretch from base 1 to 47 matches the Rfam family "Eukaryotic small subunit ribosomal RNA", at positions 1785 to 1831 of the family's 1831-position model. Lineage: Eukaryota; Fungi; Basidiomycota. The record is from RNAcentral.